UCCAUUUGGAAGACUAGACGCUCCUUUGAGAGACUAGACGCUCCUUUGUGAGGCUAGUCUUAGUCUUUUGGCUUUCAUAGUGUGGUGAGCUUGGGCCCUCUUCCAUCAUCCCCUCCCUCUUGAAAAAGGAUUUGUCCUCAAAUCCAAUGCUUUUGCUUAGGGGAAUGGUUGUGGCUGGAUGGUGUCCAUCAUCUCCUCCUUCUUUUGAGAAGAUCUAUCCUCAGAUCUUCAGGCUUGACCUCGGAUAGCAGCAUCUUGUUUCUUCAAAGCUUGUCCUCCUGGAUCAAACGUCCACCUAUAGAAAUAAUCAAAGAAAGCAUAGGUGUU
RNAcentral lists this long non-coding RNA (327 nucleotides) under Phaseolus vulgaris (common bean). Its description in RNAcentral is "long non-coding RNA (PVUL_LNC001623)". The record is from RNAcentral. Lineage: Eukaryota; Viridiplantae; Streptophyta; Magnoliopsida; Fabales; Fabaceae.